This 381-nucleotide ribosomal RNA is filed under the name uncultured eukaryote. RNAcentral describes it as "partial 18S ribosomal RNA". It matches the Rfam family "Eukaryotic small subunit ribosomal RNA", at positions 592 to 975 of the family's 1831-position model. The record is from RNAcentral.
CAAUAGCGUAUAUUAAAGUUGUUGCAGUUAAAAAGCUCGUAGUUGGAUUUCUGGUUGAAGCGACCGGUCGGGCGUUGAUUCGUCUGCACUGGAGUCGGUUUUGGCCAUCCUCUAGGAAAGUGCGUCUGGUAUUAAGUUAUCGGGCGUAUGAUCCUGGUCUUUUACUGUGAAAAAAUUAGAGUGUUUAAAGCAGGCCUUCGCCUUGAAUACAUUAGCAUGGAAUAAUAAGAUAGGACUUCGGUCUAUUUUGUUGGUUUGCAGACCGAAGUAAUGAUUAAUAGGGAUAGUUGGGGGUAUUUAUAUUCCGAUGCCAGAGGUGAAAUUCUUAGAUUUUCGGAAGAUAAACUUAUGCGAAAGCAUUUACCAAGGAUGUUUUCAUUA